UGCAGUCGAGCGGACUUGUUAGAAGCUUGCUUCUAUCAAGUUAGCGGCGGACGGGUGAGUAACACGUGGGUAACCUGCCUGUAAGAUGGGGAUAACUCCGGGAAACCGGAGCUAAUACCGAAUAACACUUUCGCUCGCAUGAGCGGAUGUUAAAAGACGGUUUCGGCUGUCACUUACAGAUGGACCCGCGGCGCAUUAGCUAGUUGGUGAGGUAACGGCUCACCAAGGCGACGAUGCGUAGCCGACCUGAGAGGGUGAUCGGCCACACUGGGACUGAGACACGGCCCAGACUCCUACGGGAGGCAGCAGUAGGGAAUCUUCCGCAAUGGACGAAAGUCUGACGGAGCAACGCCGCGUGAGUGAUGAAGGUUUUCGGAUCGUAAAACUCUGUUGUUAGGGAAGAACAAGUAUGAGAGUAACUGCUCGUACCUUGACGGUACCUAACCAGAAAGCCACGGCUAACUACGUGCCAGCAGCCGCGGUAAUACGUAGGUGGCAAGCGUUGUCCGGAAUUAUUGGGCGUAAAGCGCGCGCAGGCGGUUCCUUAAGUCUGAUGUGAAAGCCCACGGCUCAACCGUGGAGGGUCAUUGGAAACUGGGGAACUUGAGUGCAGAAGAGGAAAGCGGAAUUCCACGUGUAGCGGUGAAAUGCGUAGAGAUGUGGAGGAACACCAGUGGCGAAGGCGGCUUUCUGGUCUGUAACUGACGCUGAGGC
Molecule: ribosomal RNA, 714 nt
Filed under: Priestia koreensis
Lineage: Bacteria; Bacillati; Bacillota; Bacilli; Caryophanales; Bacillaceae
Description: bacterial SSU rRNA
Rfam family: Bacterial small subunit ribosomal RNA
Source: RNAcentral